Molecule: long non-coding RNA, 1160 nt
Organism: Acanthochromis polyacanthus (spiny chromis)
Lineage: Eukaryota; Metazoa; Chordata; Actinopteri; Pomacentridae
Exons: 7
Source: RefSeq, a predicted model, not a curated record
UUGCUCCAAGUACCCCUGACUGCAGCCCGCAGAUCGGGGCGUGCCUCAACGUGGGCGGAGUUAAACGUUGAGCUCCGCCCACCUUGAACUAAACGUGGGCGGAGUUAAACGUUUAACUCCGCCCGCAUAGCGCAGUUGAACCGUUGAAGAAGAAGAAGAAUGUAUUAGAGAAGAAGAAGAAGUUUCCAAAAUGGAGAGAAUAGAGCACGUGUUUGCUGCAAACAGCCACGUCAUUGCCACAUGGUUUCCACCAUCAUCCACAAACCCCAUGGAUCACCUGCCGGACAAUGCAGCCAGUCUCCAGUGGGUUCUGCUUCCAGUAUUUGUACCUGGACACUGGAUACUCUGCACAUUGCUCACAGCCUAUCUCCUGGCCCUUGGAGGCAGCUUGGUGUGAAUGAUGUUCAGGAAAACAUGCUGCAGAUUAGAAGAUGGUGGUGUCUUGUUCUCCUGCAGAACUUCCCCAUGCUAUCUGAAGAAGAGAGAUUGCAGCAAAGAAAAAGGCAACGAGAGCAGAAAAAACUACAGGUGAGAGGUCAUGUGAUAAAUUGGUAUAUAGUGAAACUAUUGCUCAAAGACUGAUCCCCGCCACUUAUUUCAGUAUGUGGCUGAAGUCCCCCUGAAAAUGUUUAGGCUUUCAGAAUCUGCCACUGAAGCAUCAGGUAUUGUUCCAGCCAGCAUUGUCUCACACAUAUCCAUUGAGGUUGUUGAGGUUCCAUGUCACAGAGCAGUCAUUAUUUCUCUGUGUACUUAAAAUCAACCACUUAAAUCUUGCGUUUUCAUUGUGCCUGUAGACACCACAAUCUGUUUCCUUUCUAGAUGAGGCUGAGAACAGGACUGGGAACAGGAAACGGGGAGAAUCCUUUGGUCAGGGAUGCAAUGGCGGCAGCCCGGUGGUGUGGGACCAGAACUUUGAAGGGAAAAAUUUCCCUUCCCCAAGUUGUUACCCUGGCCAAGGAGCAACGCGUGAAGGCAGUGGAACUCCUUUAUGUCUGUGAUGGCCAUGAAGAAGAGGAGACCGCUGAUCUCAGAGAACCGUUCCUUUUUCUUUUUAGUCUGCAGGAAGACUAUGAGACAUUCUGUCAAGAAAUCAUUGACAGGAGAAACAUGAAGGUGUUUUGUGCUUUUGACAGAAAAGAAUAAAGUUGUGUUCAACGGUG